UACGAAGGGGGCUAGCGUUGUUCGGAAUUACUGGGCGUAAAGCGCGCGUAGGCGGUGAUCUUUGUCAGAGGUGAAAGCCCGGGGCUCAACUCCGGAAUUGCCUUUGAAACGGGAUCGCUUGAGUCCGAGAGAGGAUGGCGGAAUUCCUAGUGUAGAGGUGAAAUUCGUAGAUAUUAGGAAGAACACCGGUGGCGAAGGCGGCCAUCUGGCUCGGUACUGACGCUCAGGCGCGAAAAGCGUGGGGGAGCAAAACAGG
This 256-nucleotide ribosomal RNA is filed under the name uncultured bacterium. Its description in RNAcentral is "partial 16S ribosomal RNA". It matches the Rfam family "Bacterial small subunit ribosomal RNA", at positions 524 to 776 of the family's 1533-position model. The record is from RNAcentral.